AGAGAGACAGAGAGACAGAGCAUGAGUGGGGAAGGGGUAUAGAGAAAGGGAGACACAGAAUAUGAAGCAGGCUCCAGACUCUGAGCUGUCAGCACAGAGCCUGAUACAGGGCUUGAAGCCAUCAACUGUGAGAUCAUGACCUGAGCUGAAGUCAGAUGCUUAACUAAUGCUUGAGCCACCCAGGUGUCCCUGUAGUUAAUAUUAAUAUCAAUAUUAAUAUUAAUAUUACUGUUACCUAUUCUCCCUCCAUCUCCUACCAUGCUCCCUCUUCCUCCUUUCCUUAAAACCUAUGCUCCAUUCAUUCCACACCAGGAAUGCUUCCCAGACAUGUUAUGAUAUGCACAUCUCUCAGUCUGUGAUUUUCAUUCUCUCUUGCCCAUCUACAGUGGACUUCCCAGGCCAGUUAUAAACCCUUUUGGAGAAGGCACUGUGGUUUUUCACAUUUAUAAUUCCAGCAACUAGCAUAUUUCCAGGAACAGUUCAGACACUUCACAAAUAUUUGUUCAAUUGAAUUAACUGUAUUAAACUAAAUAGUGUGAAUAAAACUGUACACAUCCACUUAGGGAGAGUGAGGAAUUCUUCAUAGGGAAUGAAUCACGAAAGGUUUCCCGUAGGAGCAGACAGUUUAACUUGAAAGCUUUGAAGGAUGGGUUCAUCAGGGGAUCAAGGUUCGGUGUGUUUAAGCGUUGUAGUUGGGUUAAGAAAAAUGAGUGUGGGCCCAAAUGCAAGACAUCGCAUACAGCGAGAGCUCUGUAAGCAGGGAGCUGAAUGAAGGAAAGAAUGGAAGCACACAUUUGUUCUCUAAGCAACAAUUCUGUUGUCACACUAAGAGAAAGCACAACUUGAAUUGCUUGCCUUCAUUUUAGUUUCUCCCUUAAUAUUAUUUUUGUAAACUUGUGAGUAAUGAAGAAGGAAGGGGCCUUAACCACUUCUCAGACUUUCAUAGGUAGGCCAAAAAAUAAACAACUCUCACUACCAUUAUAUCCCGUUUCCCAGGUCUUCUUGGCUCUUUAUUUCCCACAGGUAAAUCUUCAGGUCUGAGUCAUCUUCAGGUCUGAGCUGGUGGAGAAGUGAACCUAGCAACCUGGUGUUCCAGAAGAAGGGACUUCUGCCCAGAGUCAUACCUUUGUCAAAUAUACACAAGACAGGAGCAGGAGGAAGCCACUUUAAGGAGUGGAGUGAUAGAUACAGUCUGGCUGGAGCUUUAAGAAGGUCACACUGGCAGACAUUUAUCAAAAGCCGCGGAUUUCCAGAUGUUUCUUCUCCUGGGCCUGUCACCUUCUGCACAGAAGAAACAAGAGAACCCAUCCAGCCUCUUAUACUCCCUGAGGAAAACAAACAACCCACCUUGAUCUCUGCAGUCAGCACUCUGAGCUGACAUUUAGCUUCCUCUCGAACAUGCUAAAGAAAAAAGUGUAUAUUAGUCAGUUGCAUUUUCUCAGUUUAUUUUCUUAUCUUUUAACAUACCGUAAGUUCUUCAAAUACUGCUUGAUCUUAUAUAUCUACAAGUCGACCAACAGCAAUAAGACUUGGCAAAUUAAGCAUCCAAAUUAAUUAUGCAAGCUUGGCUUUAAUUUCUACUUUAAAAUAUAAUGCACUGAAUUAGAGGUAUCAAUAUCAAAAUAUUGCCUAUGCUUGUUGCUAAUUUUAAAUGGAAAGGUUUCCAAUUCAAACAGUUCUAGAUAUUCAAACACAUUUUCAUUUGCUCAUGAGAAUUUUUUUAAGGCAGAACAUGCUACUUAACAUAAAAUCAUUAGUCUUAUAAAAGAAAUAUAGGCAGGAUCCAAGUUCAUCAUAAGAUUCAUUCAUUCAUUCAUUAUGCUGGGCACUAGAGAGAAAAAAAAAACCACUAUCUGAUCUCUAAGAAACUCAGUCUAUAAGAGGCAAACAUGUAAAUAGAUCAUAAAAAUUACAAUAUAGUAAGUCCUUUUAUAAACAUUACAGGAGAGGUGUUUCCUAUCUAAAUUUUCUCCUCAUGAUGUAGAAGCAUACCAGACUAGGAUAAAAGAAGAUAAUAGGAGACAUGAUAUUUUAGCAAGACAAUCUACAGAACAUGCCUACGAUAUUGCAGAUGCUAGAUAGCCUAGAACAUUGGGAAGGUCUCUUUCCCUCCACCUGGGGUGGCAUCCAGCAGAGGACUUGACGGUGCUCAAGAAUGUACACC
This is a long non-coding RNA of Panthera uncia (snow leopard), 2164 nucleotides long. RefSeq lists it as uncharacterized. The transcript has 3 exons. The record is from RefSeq and is a predicted model, not a curated record. NCBI's taxonomy places the organism in Eukaryota, Metazoa, Chordata, Mammalia, Carnivora, Felidae.